GCUCCUUUAGCUCAGUUGGUUAGAGCGUCGUGCUAAUAGAACCCAGUGGGUUUUCACGCGAAGGUCAUAAGUUCGAUCCUUAUAAGGAGCA
This is a transfer RNA of Rhizophagus irregularis DAOM 197198w, 91 nucleotides long. It matches the Rfam family "tRNA". From Rfam's summary of the family: Transfer RNA (tRNA) molecules are approximately 80 nucleotides in length. Their secondary structure includes four short double-helical elements and three loops (D, anti-codon, and T loops). Further hydrogen bonds mediate the characteristic L-shaped molecular structure. tRNAs have two regions of fundamental functional importance: the anti-codon, which is responsible for specific mRNA codon recognition, and the 3' end, to which the tRNAs corresponding amino acid is attached (by aminoacyl-tRNA synthetases). tRNAs cope with the degeneracy of the genetic code in two manners: having more than one tRNA (with a specific anti-codon) for a particular amino acid; and 'wobble' base-pairing, i.e. permitting non-standard base-pairing at the 3rd anti-codon position. The record is from Rfam. NCBI's taxonomy places the organism in Eukaryota, Fungi, Glomeromycota, Glomeromycetes, Glomerales, Glomeraceae.